GGGGAAUUUUGGACAAUGGGCGAAAGCCUGAUCCAGCAAUGCCGCGUGCAGGAAGAAGGCCUUCGGGUUGUAAACUGCUUUUGUCAGGGAAGAAAUCUUCUGGGUUAAUACCUCGGGAGGAUGACGGUACCUCAAGAAUAAGCACCGGCUAACUACGUGCCAGCAGCCGCGGUAAUACGUAGGGUGCGAGCGUUAAUCGGAAUUACUGGGCGUAAAGCGUGCGCAGGCGGCUUUGCAAGACAGAGGUGAAAUCCCCGGGCUCAACCUGGAAACUGCCUUUGAUACUAUUAGCCUUGAAUUAUGUUGAGGUUGGCGGAAUAUAACAUGUAGCGGUGAAAUGCUUAGAUAUGUCAUGGAACACCGAUUGCGACGGCAGCUGGCUAACCAUAUAUUGACGCUGAUGCACGAAAGCGUGGGUAGCGAACA
RNAcentral lists this ribosomal RNA (426 nucleotides) under uncultured Burkholderiales bacterium. Its description in RNAcentral is "bacterial SSU rRNA". It matches the Rfam family "Bacterial small subunit ribosomal RNA", at positions 356 to 774 of the family's 1533-position model. Lineage: Bacteria; Pseudomonadati; Pseudomonadota; Betaproteobacteria; Burkholderiales. The record is from RNAcentral.